AUGAACGCUGGCGGCGUGCCUAAUACAUGCAAGUCGAGCGAACGGACGAGAAGCUUGCUUUUCUGAUGUUAUCGGCGGACGGGUGAGUAACACGUGGAUAACCUACCUAUAAGACUGGGAUAACUUCGGUAAACCGGAGCUAAUACCGGAUAAUAUUUUGAACCGCAUGGUUCAAAAGUGAAAGACGGUCUUGCUGUCACUUAUAGAUGGAUCCGCGCUGCAUUAGCUAGUUGGUAAGGUAACGGCUUACCAAGGCAACGAUGCAUAGCCGACCUGAGAGGGUGAUCGGCCACACUGGAACUGAGACGCGGUCCAGACGCCUACGGGAGGCAGCAGUAGGGAAUCUUCCGCAAUGGGCGAAAGCCUGACGGAGCAACGCCGCGUGAGUGAUUAAGGUCUUCGGAUCGUAAAACUCUGUUAUUAGGGAAGAACAUAUGUGUAAGUAACUGUGCACAUCUUGACGGUACCUAAUCAGAAAGCCACGGCUAACUACGUG
RNAcentral lists this ribosomal RNA (496 nucleotides) under uncultured bacterium. Its description in RNAcentral is "partial 16S ribosomal RNA". It matches the Rfam family "Bacterial small subunit ribosomal RNA", at positions 29 to 507 of the family's 1533-position model. The record is from RNAcentral.